RNAcentral lists this ribosomal RNA (437 nucleotides) under uncultured bacterium. RNAcentral's name for it is "partial 16S ribosomal RNA". It matches the Rfam family "Bacterial small subunit ribosomal RNA", at positions 29 to 507 of the family's 1533-position model. The record is from RNAcentral.
AGCGAACGCUGGCGGCAGGCUUAACACAUGCAAGUCGAGCGGGCAUCCUUGUGGUGUCAGCGGCAGACGGGUGAGUAACGCGUGGGAACGUGCCCUUCGGUUCGGAAUAACUCAGGGAAACUUGAGCUAAUACCGGAUACGUGCGAGAGCAGAAAGGUUUAUCUGCCGAAGGAUCGGCCCGCGUCUGAUUAGCUAGUUGGUGAGGUUAUGGCUCACCAAGGCGACGAUCAGUAGCUGGUCUGAGAGGAUGAUCAGCCACACUGGGACUGAGACACGGCCCAGACUCCUACGGGAGGCAGCAGUGGGGAAUAUUGGACAAUGGGGGCAACCCUGAUCCAGCCAUGCCGCGUGAGUGAUGACGGCCUUAGGGUUGUAAAGCUCUUUUCUUCGGGACGAUAAUGACGGUACCGGAGAAAUAAGCCCCGGCUAACUUCGUG